GAGUUUGAUCGUGGCUCAGAUUGAACGCUGGCGGCAUGCCUUACACAUGCAAGUCGAACGGCAGCAUGAUCUAGCUUGCUAGAUUGAUGGCGAGUGGCGAACGGGUGAGUAAUACAUCGGAACGUGCCCUGUAGUGGGGGAUAACUAGUCGAAAGAUUAGCUAAUACCGCAUACGACCUGAGGGUGAAAGUGGGGGGCCGCAAGGCCUCAUGCUAUAGGAGCGGCCGAUGUCUGAUUAGCUAGUUGGUGGGGUAAAGGCCCACCAAGGCGACGAUCAGUAGCUGGUCUGAGAGGACGAUCAGCCACACUGGGACUGAGACACGGCCCAGACUCCUACGGGAGGCAGCAGUGGGGAAUUUUGGACAAUGGGCGAAAGCCUGAUCCAGCAAUGCCGCGUGUGUGAAGAUGGCCUC
This 413-nucleotide ribosomal RNA is filed under the name uncultured microorganism. RNAcentral describes it as "bacterial SSU rRNA". It matches the Rfam family "Bacterial small subunit ribosomal RNA", at positions 9 to 418 of the family's 1533-position model. The record is from RNAcentral.